GAGAGUAAAACAGUACGUGAAAUUGUUGAAAGGGAAACGCUUGAAGUCAGUCGUGCCGGCGUUGGAUUCAGCUUGCUUCGCGGAGCAGGCGUAUUUCCAUGCAUGGCAGGUCAGCGUCAGUUUUGCGCGGCGUGAAAAGGCUCGGGUAAGGUAGCUCUCUUCGGGGAGUGUUAUAGACCUGGGCAGAUGCGCUGCGCGGGACUGAGGAUUGCAGCGGACACCUCUUCGGGGGCGCGGCGACCGAACCCUGCUCGGCCACCCUCGUUCGAUAGCGUGCUAGCGGACGCGGGAGCGGCAGUGCACCGGAACAGGCAAGCCAGCGGUUCGCUAAGGAUGCUGACGUAAUGGCUUUAAACGA
RNAcentral lists this ribosomal RNA (358 nucleotides) under uncultured Archaeospora. RNAcentral describes it as "partial 28S ribosomal RNA". The record is from RNAcentral. Lineage: Eukaryota; Fungi; Glomeromycota; Glomeromycetes; Archaeosporales; Archaeosporaceae.